This 465-nucleotide ribosomal RNA is filed under the name uncultured Klebsiella sp. RNAcentral's name for it is "bacterial SSU rRNA". It matches the Rfam family "Bacterial small subunit ribosomal RNA", at positions 338 to 795 of the family's 1533-position model. The record is from RNAcentral. Lineage: Bacteria; Pseudomonadati; Pseudomonadota; Gammaproteobacteria; Enterobacterales; Enterobacteriaceae.
CCUACGGGAGGCAGCAGUGGGGAAUAUUGCACAAUGGGCGCAAGCCUGAUGCAGCCAUGCCGCGUGUGUGAAGAAGGCCUUCGGGUUGUAAAGCACUUUCAGCGGGGAGGAAGGCGGUGAGGUUAAUAACCUCAUCGAUUGACGUUACCCGCAGAAGAAGCACCGGCUAACUCCGUGCCAGCAGCCGCGGUAAUACGGAGGGUGCAAGCGUUAAUCGGAAUUACUGGGCGUAAAGCGCACGCAGGCGGUCUGUCAAGUCGGAUGUGAAAUCCCCGGGCUCAACCAGGGAACUGCAUUCGAAACUGGCAGGCUAGAGUCUUGUAGAGGGGGGUAGAAUUCCAGGUGUAGCGGUGAAAUGCGUAGAGAUCUGGAGGAAUACCGGUGGCGAAGGCGGCCCCCUGGACAAAGACUGACGCUCAGGUGCGAAAGCGUGGGGAGCAAACAGGAUUAGAUACCCUAGUAGUC